GUCUGAGAGGAUGAUCAGCCACACUGGAACUGAGACACGGUCCAGACUCCUACGGGAGGCAGCAGUGGGGAAUAUUGCACAAUGGGCGCAAGCCUGAUGCAGCCAUGCCGCGUGUAUGAAGAAGGCCUUCGGGUUGUAAAGUACUUUCAGCAGUGAGGAAGGCGGGUGCGUUAAUAGCGUAUUCGUUUGACGUUAGCUGCAGAAGAAGCACCGGCUAACUCCGUGCCAGCAGCCGCGGUAAUACGGAGGGUGCGAGCGUUAAUCGGAAUUACUGGGCGUAAAGCGCAUGCAGGUGGUUUGUUAAGUCAGAUGUGAAAGCCCGGGGCUCAACCUCGGAAUUGCAUUUGAAACUGGCAGACUAGAGUACUGUAGAGGGGGGUAGAAUUUCAGGUGUAGCGGUGAAAUGCGUAGAGAUCUGAAGGAAUACCGGUGGCGAAGGCGGCCCCCUGGACAGAUACUGACACUCAGAUGCGAAAGCGUGGGGAGCAAACAGGAUUAGAUACCCUGGUAGUCCACGCCGUAAACGAUGUCUACUUGGAGGUUGUGGCCUUGAGCCGUGGCUUUCGGAGCUAACGCGUUAAGUAGACCGCCUGGGGAGUACGGUCGCAAGAUUAAAACUCAAAUGAAUUGACGGGGGCCCGCACAAGCGGUGGAGCAUGUGGUUUAAUUCGAUGCAACGCGAAGAACCUUACCUACUCUUGACAUCCUCAGAAGCUUGUAGAGAUACAAGUGUGCCUUCGGGAACUGAGAGACAGGUGCUGCAUGGCUGUCGUCAGCUCGUGUUGUGAAAUGUUGGGUUAAGUCCCGCAACGAGCGCAACCCUUAUCCUUGUUUGCCAGCACUUCGGGUGGGAACUCCAGGGAGACUGCCGGUGAUAAACCGGAGGAAGGUGGGGACGACGUCAAGUCAUCAUGGCCCUUACGAGUAGGGCUACACACGUGCUACAAUGGCGCAUACAGAGGGCGGCCAACUUGCGAGAGUGAGCGAAUCCCAAAAAGUGCGUCGUAGUCCGGAUUGGAGUCUGCAACUCGACUCCAUGAAGUCGGAAUCGCUAGUAAUCGUGGAUCAGAAUGCCACGGUGAAUACGUUCCCGGGCCUUGUACACACCGCCCGUCACACCAUGGGAGUGGGCUGCAAAAGAAGUGGGUAGUUUAACCUUCGGG
Molecule: ribosomal RNA, 1163 nt
Filed under: Vibrio sp. LC222
Lineage: Bacteria; Pseudomonadati; Pseudomonadota; Gammaproteobacteria; Vibrionales; Vibrionaceae
Description: bacterial SSU rRNA
Rfam family: Bacterial small subunit ribosomal RNA
Source: RNAcentral